RNAcentral lists this ribosomal RNA (997 nucleotides) under Hypomyces sp. Its description in RNAcentral is "partial 28S ribosomal RNA". It matches the Rfam family "Eukaryotic large subunit ribosomal RNA", at positions 51 to 1081 of the family's 3401-position model. The record is from RNAcentral. Lineage: Eukaryota; Fungi; Ascomycota; Sordariomycetes; Hypocreales; Hypocreaceae.
CCGGGAGCAGAACAACAGGCAUUGCCCCAGUAACGGCGAGUGAAGCGGCAACAGCUCAAAUUUGAAAUCUGGCCCCUCGGGGUCCGAGUUGUAAUUUGUAGAGGAUGCUUUUGAUGAGGCGCCGCCUGAGUUCCCUGGAACGGGACGCCAUAGAGGGUGAGAGCCCCGUCUGGCUGGCCGCCGAGUCUCUGUAAAGCUCCUUCGACGAGUCGAGUAGUUUGGGAAUGCUGCUCAAAAUGGGAGGUAUAUGUCUUCUAAAGCUAAAUACCGGCCAGAGACCGAUAGCGCACAAGUAGAGUGAUCGAAAGAUGAAAAGCACUUUGAAAAGAGGGUUAAAUAGUACGUGAAAUUGUUGAAAGGGAAGCACUUGUGACCAGACUUGGGCUUGGCGAAUCAUCCGGCGUUCUCGCCGGUGCACUUUGCCUCGUCCAGGCCAGCAUCAGUUCGCCGCGGGGGAUAAAGGCUUCGGGAACGUGGCUCCUCCGGGAGUGUUAUAGCCCGUUGCGUAAUACCCUGCAGUGGACUGAGGUUCGCGCAUCUGCAAGGAUGCUGGCGUAAUGGUCAUCAGUGACCCGUCUUGAAACACGGACCAAGGAGUCGUCUUCGUAUGCGAGUGUUCGGGUGUCAAACCCCUACGCGUAAUGAAAGUGAACGCAGGUGAGAGCUUCGGCGCAUCAUCGACCGAUCCUGAUGUUCUCGGAUGGAUUUGAGUAAGAGCAUACGGGGCCGGACCCGAAAGAAGGUGAACUAUGCCUGUAUAGGGUGAAGCCAGAGGAAACUCUGGUGGAGGCUCGCAGCGGUUCUGACGUGCAAAUCGAUCGUCAAAUAUGGGCAUGGGGGCGAAAGACUAAUCGAACCUUCUAGUAGCUGGUUUCCGCCGAAGUUUCCCUCAGGAUAGCAGUGUUGAUCUCAGUUUUAUGAGGUAAAGCGAAUGAUUAGGGACCCGGGGGCGCUAUUUAGCCUUCAUCCAUUCUCAAACUUUAAAUAUGUAAGAAGC